UCACCUUACUGAAAUAUAUCUGUA
Molecule: microRNA, 24 nt
Filed under: Bombyx mori (domestic silkworm)
Lineage: Eukaryota; Metazoa; Arthropoda; Insecta; Lepidoptera; Bombycidae
Description: bmo-miR-3231
Source: miRBase by way of RNAcentral